RNAcentral lists this ribosomal RNA (926 nucleotides) under Arthrobacter sp. RNAcentral describes it as "bacterial SSU rRNA". It matches the Rfam family "Bacterial small subunit ribosomal RNA", at positions 579 to 1500 of the family's 1533-position model. Lineage: Bacteria; Bacillati; Actinomycetota; Actinomycetes; Micrococcales; Micrococcaceae. The record is from RNAcentral.
UUUGUCGCGGCUGCCGUGAAAUGCCGGGGGUCGCUCCGGAUCUGCGGCGGGUACGGGCAGACUAAAGUGAUGUAGGGGACACUGAAAUUCCUGGUGUAGCGGUGAAAUGCGCAGAUAUCAGGAGGAACACCGAUGGCGAAGGCAGGUCUCUGGGCAUUAACUGACGCUGAGGAGCGAAAGCAUGGGGAGCGAACAGGAUUAGAUACCCUGGUAGUCCAUGCCGUAAACGUUGGGCACUAGGUGUGGGGGACAUUCCACGUUUUCCGCGCCGUAGCUAACGCAUUAAGUGCCCCGCCUGGGGAGUACGGCCGCAAGGCUAAAACUCAAAGGAAUUGACGGGGGCCCGCACAAGCGGCGGAGCAUGCGGAUUAAUUCGAUGCAACGCGAAGAACCUUACCAAGGCUUGACAUGGGCCGGACCGGGCUGGAAACAGUCCUUCCCCUUUGGGGCCGGUUCACAGGUGGUGCAUGGUUGUCGUCAGCUCGUGUCGUGAGAUGUUGGGUUAAGUCCCGCAACGAGCGCAACCCUCGUUCCAUGUUGCCAGCGCGUAAUGGCGGGGACUCAUGGGAGACUGCCGGGGUCAACUCGGAGGAAGGUGGGGACGACGUCAAAUCAUCAUGCCCCUUAUGUCUUGGGCUUCACGCAUGCUACAAUGGCCGGUACAAAGGGUUGCGAUACUGUGAGGUGGAGCUAAUCCCAAAAAGCCGGUCUCAGUUCGGAUUGGGGUCUGCAACUCGACCCCAUGAAGUCGGAGUCGCUAGUAAUCGCAGAUCAGCAACGCUGCGGUGAAUACGUUCCCGGGCCUUGUACACACCGCCCGUCAAGUCACGAAAGUUGGUAACACCCGAAGCCGGUGGCCUAACCCCUUGUGGGAGGGAGCUGUCGAAGUGGGACUGGCGAUUGGGACGAAGUCGUACAGGGGUAAC